This 69-nucleotide transfer RNA is filed under the name Laleonectes cf. nipponensis UF 7342. Its description in RNAcentral is "tRNA-Leu". Lineage: Eukaryota; Metazoa; Arthropoda; Malacostraca; Decapoda; Portunidae. The record is from RNAcentral.
ACUAUUUUGUCAGAUAAUAUGUGCUAGACUUAGGAUCUAGAUAAAUAGAAUAAAGUUCUAUAAGUAGUA